RNAcentral lists this ribosomal RNA (467 nucleotides) under uncultured bacterium. RNAcentral describes it as "partial 16S ribosomal RNA". It matches the Rfam family "Bacterial small subunit ribosomal RNA", at positions 28 to 507 of the family's 1533-position model. The record is from RNAcentral.
GACGAACGCUGGCGGCGUGCUUAACACAUGCAAGUCGAACGGAAAGGCCUCUUUCGGGGGGUACUCGAGUGGCGAACGGGUGAGUAACACGUGAGUAACCUGCCCUUGACUUUGGGAUAACUUCAGGAAACUGGGGCUAAUACCGGAUAGGAGCUCCUGCUGCAUGGUGGGGGUUGGAAAGUUUCGGCGGUUGGGGAUGGACUCGCGGCUUAUCAGCUUGUUGGUGGGGUAGUGGCUUACCAAGGCUUUGACGGGUAGCCGGCCUGAGAGGGUGACCGGCCACAUUGGGACUGAGAUACGGCCCAGACUCCUACGGGAGGCAGGAGUGGGGAAUAUUGCACAAUGGGUGGAAGCCUGAUGCAGCAACGCCGUGUGCGGGAUGACGGCCUUCGGUUUGAAAACCGCUUUCGCUCAUGACGAAGCUUUGUGUGACGGUAGUGGGUAAAGAAGCACCGGCUAACUACGUG